GAUGAAGAACGCAGCGAAAUGCGAUAAGUAAUGUGAAUUGCAGAAUUCAGUGAAUCAUCAAAUCUUUGAACGCACAUUGCGCCCGCCAGCAUUCUGGCGGGCAUGCCUGUUCGAGCGUCAUUUCAACCCUCAAGCUCUGCUUGGUGUUGGGGCCCUACGGUUGACGUAGGCCCUUAAAGGUAGUGGCGGACCCUCUCGGAGCCUCCUUUGCGUAGUAACUAACGUCUCGCAUUGGGAUUCGGAGGGACUCUUGCCGUAAAACCCCCAAAUUUUCUAAUGGUUGACCUCGGAUCAGGUAGGAAUACCCGCUGAACUUAAGCAUAUCAAUAAGCGGAGGA
RNAcentral lists this unclassified non-coding RNA (338 nucleotides) under soil metagenome. RNAcentral's name for it is "partial contains 5.8S ribosomal RNA, internal transcribed spacer 2, and large subunit ribosomal RNA". The stretch from base 1 to 120 matches the Rfam family "5.8S ribosomal RNA", at positions 35 to 154 of the family's 154-position model. The record is from RNAcentral.